RNAcentral lists this long non-coding RNA (702 nucleotides) under Homo sapiens (human). RNAcentral's name for it is "non-protein coding lnc-RTL1-8:4". The record is from RNAcentral. Lineage: Eukaryota; Metazoa; Chordata; Mammalia; Primates; Hominidae.
ACUUCUCAGCAUCGCCGUCUCUGAGGGCAGGAGUGAUCUGGAGCCCUCCCCAAGCCCACAGGUAGUCGGGCGGCAUGUGCGGGCCUGGGGGGCCCCACUGGGGUCUUCUCUCCUCUUCCCCGGCCCCUCCCCGAGGCCAGGACAAGUCCUGCCUGCCCUGAACGGGGGCGGCUGAGCCCAGGUUGGGGUGGUGGUGAGACAGGGAGACUGGGGAGCUGGGCACCCUGAUGGGGGUUCUGGGCCUGCCACUCAUCAGCCUGGAGGUCCGGGGCUUUUCCCCAACCCCCUGUGCACGGAAAGGUUUAGGGGCCAUGCCCCAGGUGGCCACAGCGACGGGAAGCUCCCUGGCUGCCUCAAAGGGCUGUUCUGUGGGGGGACCUGGUCCAGGAUGAUGGAGGGGAGGCAGCAACUGGACUUUUCCCCUUGCAGCUGUAAGGAUAGCUUGAUUUUUCUAAGGACAACAACCCUGUGUCUCCCCACUGAGUUACAAGCCCGCAGGUGGCUUGAUGAACAUGUGGUUUCUGGAUGUGACAUGAAAGUUAGCAUUUGCGCGCUCUUUGGUUUCCCUGGGUUUGUUUUUCUUGCUCUUACAGUCCUGAACUAUUCCCAAUCGUGUUUAUGUUGAGGCAGAAGACAUGGCUGUGGAGUGUCGGUGCACCAGGGUCUGCCGGGUCCCCGCCUCCCCAUCCUUCCAAGAGGCAC